Molecule: ribosomal RNA, 492 nt
Filed under: uncultured bacterium
Lineage: Bacteria
Description: partial 16S ribosomal RNA
Rfam family: Bacterial small subunit ribosomal RNA
Source: RNAcentral
AGUGAACGCUGGCGGUAGGCCUAACACAUGCAAGUCGAACGGCAGCACAGUAAGAGCUUGCUCUUACGGGUGGCGAGUGGCGGACGGGUGAGGAAUACAUCGGAAUCUACUUUUUCGUGGGGGAUAACGUAGGGAAACUUACGCUAAUACCGCAUACGACCUACGGGUGAAAGCAGGGGAUCUUCGGACCUUGCGCGAUUGAAUGAGCCGAUGUCGGAUUAGCUAGUUGGCGGGGUAAAGGCCCACCAAGGCGACGAUCCGUAGCUGGUCUGAGAGGAUGAUCAGCCACACUGGAACUGAGACACGGUCCAGACUCCUACGGGAGGCAGCAGUGGGGAAUAUUGGACAAUGGGCGCAAGCCUGAUCCAGCCAUACCGCGUGGGUGAAGAAGGCCUUCGGGUUGUAAAACCCUUUUGUUGGGAAAGAAAAACCGCAGGUUAAUACCCCGCUGUUCUGACGGUACCCAAAGAAUAAGCACCGGCUAACUUCGUG